This 1943-nucleotide long non-coding RNA is filed under the name Homo sapiens (human). Its description in RNAcentral is "HSALNT0043829". Lineage: Eukaryota; Metazoa; Chordata; Mammalia; Primates; Hominidae. The record is from RNAcentral.
GAGGAACCCAGUGGGAGGUGAUUGAAUUAUGUGGGCAGGUCUUUCCCAUGCUGUUCUCAUAAUAUUGAAUAAGUCUUAGAAAGUCUGACAGUUUUAAAAAUGUGAGUUUCCCUGCACAAGCUCUCCCUCUUUGCCUGCUGCCAUCCAUGUAAAAUGUGAUGCUCCACCUUGCCUUCCACCAUGAUUGUGAGGCUUCCCCAGCAACGUGGAACUGCUGAUUUCUCAACCUCUCUGUCGUGAGUUGACUCGUGUACUCCCAAAAGCUAUGUUGAAGUUCUAACCCCGGUACCUGUGAAUGUGGCCAUGUUUGGAAAUAGGGUCUUUGCAGAUGUUAGUUAUCAAGGUUUUCUUAGUGUGAAAUAUGAACUCAUGAGCAUCUGGCCUGGGAACUGGACCAGUUUUAAAUCUCGUGUUGAGAGCCGGAAGAUGCUGGAGAAGGAAUGUGGUGGAAUGACUGCCUGAGAAUGAACCAUUCUCCAGUGAGAGGGGGCUUCGAUAUUGAAAGGGCAAUUUGGCCUUAACUUGGAAAUGCUGGAGAUUGAUUGCAUACAAUCUGUCCUGCUAGUGAGAGAAGCAAGGACUGCAUCUAAGUGCAACAUGAAGACUUUUGGUCCCAAGCUUUCCUCCAACUUCAGUGGGAGGCAGCCCAAAACCACCGUCGGUUCAAGAAUACAAGUGACCUGCAAUUCUUGGAAAGACUCCCCCAAUUCUUCUCCCAAUAUGUGGUCAGCUUUUCCAGCAGGAUUAGGGAGGGAGGAGUUUCAGCUGUGCUUCUAAGAUCUUCCAGAAUGAAUUUUCUACCUCAAAAAUCAAGGACUUUUCUGGAAACUGCAGUCAGAGGACAGAACAUCAGCCUCAAGCUGGAAAAACAUUUAUUUUGUGGUGGGGUGUGUACCUCAGUAUUCCCUGUGCUAGAAGAAAAGAAGCACUUUCAAGGAAGGUGGGUAAGGUUUUUUCCCCCUUUUCUGGAAACCAGCUGAGAAACUUUGCCUUGGAGCGCCAUCUAGAGGAAGCCUCAGCACACACACGCUGUGCUUUCUUAGCCUUAUGACAUGACCCAGGUUGAAUCCAAUGGUUGGUACAUGCUCCAUGAACAUCCGGAGAGCAGCUGUGAUCAUGGCAUCAACGUCGAGAGAAAAGUCAUCAAAAUGAAUGUCAUCGAUGGCAAGUUCUGACACCAGAGGGAUGUUGGCUGCCUAGAAAAGCAAAAGACAUAAGUCAAGCCAAGUUCACCAGCUUUCCCAAACCCCCAUCCUGCUCUCCUCCCCUGCUUAUCAGAAGUGCCACAUAAAUCAGGCCUGACCUGCACUUACACCCUGAUACAGCUAAACUCUGAGCUGUAAAUGUCUUUUGUUUCUGAACUGCAAAUGCCCCAAGCAAAUGAAGGUGGGGGCAGGGUUGGGGGCGGGGGGAGGGAAACUAAUCUGAAGAUAAAAUACACGCACUGGAUCUAGCCUGCAGAAUUUAUAAUACAGAACUGUCAAGUUUAUGGAAACUGUGGUCAUACAAUAUAUUCUGAUGCAUAUUACAGAGCACUAAAUGCAAGAAACAUCUGGGCAGCCAGCAGCUGUGAAUUUUAAUUGAUGCUAUUCAGGAGAAGGAGAAGGGAAUACACCACUUUGCCUUGUUUCUUAUAUCCUUAUAUCCUGUAGCUUGCACGUGUUCUUUGUUACACACGUGUUCUGUAUAUUCAGAAUGAUCGAAAGGAUCAGACAGCACAUCUCUGGUGGGAAAUAUGUUGCCUUAAUAAAAUAGAGAUAUCUGAAGGUUUAGCAUAAGCCUAUGUUUCACUGAGGAGAUCAAUUUUGCUUUCUUGUUUAGCUUCAUUCUAUAUAAACAUCACAACAUAAUUACAAUACUGGUCAUACAUAUUCAAGGUUUUCAAAACACCCAUGUUAGGCAACUGUCAAUCAGCUGCCCACAAACGAGCCUAAAGAGGAGAA